GCCGCCGCCACCCUCUCCGUCGCAUCCCCCCGACCCUCCGUCACGGGGAUCGUCGGGAGAGCCACAAAAUAUGAGUUGAAAGUCAUACAACGGUAUUUACAUAAAGCCAUCUGUUCUCAUUAAGCAACAAUGUUCAGAUAGAAAGCAAAUAUGUUUGUGUUAUCCAUCAGUUGCUUGUUACUGGAUACCUAAAAGAAAGAUUAAUGGUAUAUUGUCUGCAACUAGGUUCAAAUCAAAUUCAGUAUUUGGGAAUUUCUAUCUCCUAGUGGCUAAUCCAGGUAUACCCCUGUCAAAGGAAAAUACCAAGUCCUACCGGAUUUUUGUGUGUUCAGUACUGCCUGCUCACUGUCAAUAGAGCCGCAUGGCCAUGCAAAAGUGAAGAGCUUAUGCUAAUUUUAGUUGUUACAUAUGUAAAUAAGGUUGGCGGUUUUGACUGUAGAGGAAGAUAUGGCCCUUAGCUCAUUGCUGACAUGGAUACAUGAUCAACUCCCCAGUAUGUAUGACCAGUCUUCACAUGGUGUCUCUGACUUUUGCUUAAAUGCAGCGUUCCUGCUUUGUUCAUAAGGACAGUUGGUCUCCACUGCCAUUCAACUGUUGAUACAUCAACAUCUUCAGAGUCAGUCGCAUAUCGUUGGACAGAAGGAGGCAUUGAGAAAUCUGAAGGUAGUUUGAUAGUGUAGAUGGCCAAAGGUAAACCAAUAGCUUUAGCAUCAGCCAACAAGAGCGUACUAAGCUCUAUGCCGCCGAUCAGUUCUUCAUCUGACAGUGCGGCUUCAAGCAUGAUAAAGUCAUUGAGAUCCCGAUAGUGGCAGCGAAGCGGAAGUUGCCCCUGGUGGCGAGGUGCAGUGCGGUGGACAUUCUGGCGGCAAGUUGCAGAGUUGAUUUCCACGAUGUGAACAGUCAAAAAUUAUAAGGUGAAGCCUGUAAUAUAUGAGGAUGGGGCACUAGUUAUCUUUAAUUAUGAGAAUGUGACCACAUCAUGUUCUUGUAGAAGAUACGAAUCCAAAGGUUUGUUGUGAUGGGAGGAUAUACAGACCUUCUACUUCAAAAUGAUUGAUCGUCAUAGCUGCUGCACCCUUAGAUAAGAAUGGAUUUUGAUGUAGUGAAUCUCAGAAAAUGGAAGGAGUAGGCAUAGCAAUAAUUUUGAUCGUCCGGGGGAUCGCUAGCAGAGUUACGGACCCGUCCCCUCCGUCGCUGGGAUCGCUGAUGCUGCAGCGACCAGGACAUCAUGAUGAGAUUGUCGAUGACUUGGCUGUCCUUAUGGAGUCGCCCAGUAACUGGUCACAUUGCGGUCCGCUCUAAAUGUUAUGUCUGAGUCUGCUCCCAAAGUUCAGUUUGUGUAUCUUUCUCACUGUUGUAAUGUUGUAAAGAGCUGUAUGUAUGUGAUGCUUCUGACCUCUGAGUCUGUUUGUUUCGUGACUCAGUUGCAAAGAUACAAAAAGUAGAGCUAAAUAUGACAGCAUCAAAAGUUCCAGAUGUAAUUUAAAUUUUAUAUGAGGAUCUUAAUUGUUUGUGUGUGUUUCA
Lolium rigidum is the source of this 1524-nucleotide long non-coding RNA. RefSeq lists it as uncharacterized. The transcript is spliced from 2 exons. NCBI's taxonomy places the organism in Eukaryota, Viridiplantae, Streptophyta, Magnoliopsida, Poales, Poaceae. The record is from RefSeq and is a predicted model, not a curated record.